GAUUUCUGGCUUGAAACAUUUAGCCGGCCACGGUUUCGUGUGUUAGUGCUUGAUGUUCUGGCCAUCCUUCCAAUUGCUAUUCAUCUUUCUUCAUUGAUGGGUGAGUGGUAUUGGAUCUUUUACUUUGAAAAAAUUAGAGUGUUUAAAGCAGGCUUUUUGCUAUGAAUACAUUAGCAUGGAAUAAUAAUUUAGGACUUUGGCCCUAUUUUGUUGGUUUCUAGGACUGAAGUAAUGAUUGAUAGGGAUAGUUGGGGGUGCUCGAAUUCAGCGGCCAGAGGUGAAAUUCUUGGAUUCGCUGAAGACGAACUCAUGCGAAAGCAUU
This 322-nucleotide ribosomal RNA is filed under the name Sandonidae sp. RNAcentral's name for it is "SSU rRNA". The stretch from base 110 to 322 matches the Rfam family "Eukaryotic small subunit ribosomal RNA", at positions 742 to 955 of the family's 1831-position model. Lineage: Eukaryota; Cercozoa; Glissomonadida; Sandonidae. The record is from RNAcentral.